This 231-nucleotide ribosomal RNA is filed under the name Salmonella enterica subsp. enterica. RNAcentral describes it as "partial 23S ribosomal RNA". It matches the Rfam family "Bacterial large subunit ribosomal RNA", at positions 2712 to 2925 of the family's 2925-position model. Lineage: Bacteria; Pseudomonadati; Pseudomonadota; Gammaproteobacteria; Enterobacterales; Enterobacteriaceae. The record is from RNAcentral.
GUGUUCGGGUUGUCAUGCCAAUGGCACUGCCCGGUAGCUAAAUGCGGAAAAGAUAAGUGCUGAAAGCAUCUAAGCACGAAACUUGCCCCGAGAUGAGUUCUCCCUGAGACUAUAAGUCUCCUGAAGGAACGUUGAAGACGACGACGUUGAUAGGUCGGGUGUGUAAGCGUAGCGAUACGUUGAGCUAACCGGUACUAAUGAACCGUGAGGCUUAACCUUACAACGCCGAAG